This 201-nucleotide long non-coding RNA is filed under the name Homo sapiens (human). RNAcentral's name for it is "HSALNT0159122". Lineage: Eukaryota; Metazoa; Chordata; Mammalia; Primates; Hominidae. The record is from RNAcentral.
UCCGACGCGGGCGUCCUGGAGAGCGCGCCCCAUUGUGCGGGGCCGGCGGGGAGGAGAACCACUUCCAAGAAGAUGAGCAGUUUCUGGGAGCCGUUAUGCCAAGGCUUGGCAUUGGAAUGGAUACUUGUGUCAUUCCUUUGAGGCACGGUGGGCUUUCCUUGGUUCAAACCACAGAUUACAUUUACCCGAUCGUAGACGACC